Molecule: transfer RNA, 82 nt
Filed under: Candidatus Nealsoniibacteriota bacterium
Lineage: Bacteria; Candidatus Nealsoniibacteriota
Also listed under: 1 other name
Description: tRNA-Leu
Rfam family: tRNA
About the family: Transfer RNA (tRNA) molecules are approximately 80 nucleotides in length. Their secondary structure includes four short double-helical elements and three loops (D, anti-codon, and T loops).
Source: RNAcentral
GGGCAGGUGGUGAAACUGGUAAACACGUACGGUUCAGGGUCGUAUGCCGAAAGGCUUGAGGGUUCGACCCCCUCCCUGCCCA